This 346-nucleotide ribosomal RNA is filed under the name uncultured bacterium. RNAcentral describes it as "bacterial SSU rRNA". It matches the Rfam family "Bacterial small subunit ribosomal RNA", at positions 1 to 334 of the family's 1533-position model. The record is from RNAcentral.
CGCUCGACAUCAGAGUUUGAUCCUGGCUCAGGAUGAACGCUAGCUACAGGCUUAACACAUGCAAGUCGAGGGGCAGCAUGAUCGAAGCUUGCUUUGAUUGAUGGCGACCGGCGCACGGGUGAGUAACACGUAUCCAACCUGGCUCAGACUCGGGGAUAGCCUUUCGAAAGAAAGAUUAAUACCCGAUGGCAUGAAGCUCCCGCAUGAGGGCUUCAUUAAAGAUUCAUCGGUCUGAGAUGGGGAUGCGUUCCAUUAGGCAGUUGGCGGGGUAACGGCCCACCAAGGCAAUGAUGGGUAGCCGGCCUGAGAGGGUGAACGGCCACAAGGGGGCUGAGACACGGCCCUU